RNAcentral lists this ribosomal RNA (253 nucleotides) under uncultured bacterium. RNAcentral describes it as "partial 16S ribosomal RNA". It matches the Rfam family "Bacterial small subunit ribosomal RNA", at positions 524 to 776 of the family's 1533-position model. The record is from RNAcentral.
UACGUAGGGCGCAAGCGUUGUCCGGAUUUAUUGGGCGUAAAGAGCUCGUAGGUGGUCUGUUACGUCUGCUGUGAAAACCCAGGGCUUAACCCUGGGCCUGCAGUGGAUACGGGCAGACUAGAGGUAGGUAGGGGAGAAUGGAAUUCCCGGUGUAGCGGUGAAAUGCGCAGAUAUCGGGAGGAACACCGGUGGCGAAGGCGGUUCUCUGGGCCUUACCUGACACUGAGGAGCGAAAGCGUGGGGAGCGAACAGG